CUUUCAGUGACAAGAUCAACCCUUCCCCCAAAGCAUAUUUGUUUCUCAGGUAGUUCCAGCCAGCCUUACAUGUGAUCAGGGGAUAAGGAACUUGUUGCGUUAUCUGAAGUGGAAAACACCCGGGCGCUUUACUCAGUUUUUCAUCUCUGUUACAGAUUGCUCAAAGUUAUGCAACCGCCUCGAGCAAAGAGGCAACUUCAGAAUCUGGUAAUCGCCUAUUCUUCCAACGGCGCUGGCCGCGCUGAAAGGAGCCAACAGGCUACACCAAGUUUGUGUGUGUCUUUGUUGAACUGCAGAGUCCCAAAAUGAACUCCAUCAUCCUGUACUCCAUCAUCCUGUACUCCAUCAGUGCUUCUGACUGUGCCAAGUAAAGUGAAAUGAUUGCUUUCCAGGUUUUAUAGGCAAUGCCACUUUCAAUGGCCUAGAAUUAGAUUUACUUACUCUGUGGCAGCAUGUUGCUACUAACAGAUAUUUAACUUUGAUUUGCUGUCCACAUGUGAUCACUUUCUGAUUAUUUUUUUUUGGCUACUUUCAACUAAUAAUUGAUUUCAAAUUCCAAUACAUAGUACUUUGUGUUUGUCUGUCAUUAAAGUGCACCUUGAUCUUA
Pezoporus occidentalis (night parrot) is the source of this 607-nucleotide long non-coding RNA. RefSeq lists it as uncharacterized. The record is from RefSeq and is a predicted model, not a curated record. NCBI's taxonomy places the organism in Eukaryota, Metazoa, Chordata, Aves, Psittaciformes, Psittacidae. The transcript is spliced from 2 exons.